UUAGAGGAAGAGUGAGUUAGAGAGAAAUUCUUGUGGGUCUUGAGUUGAUUGUAAACCUUGUGUUGGAUAAUCAAUAGAAGACCCGAUUGAAAGUGAUUGUUUCGUGUUUGUCAUCUUUAUUCUUGUUUCUGUUUGUUGGAUUGAUCAAGGGGAUUCCGCACCCUUGGUUGAUUAUCAAUCUCGUUACGAUCCAUACGGGAUAGGGACCUACAAUUGGUAUCAGAGCUUUUGCUCUUAGUUGUUUGGUUCGAGAUUGAUAUGGAUUCAAGAUCUUCGAAGAAAAGAUUUUUUUUGGGUUUGCAUGUUUCAGAAGUGAAAAAGUUGUGUUAUUGUUAAGGGAAAUUUUUUCGAAAUUAUCAAGAAGUUGUUUGUGUUCUUCGGGAUUUAAGUCACAGUUCAUCAAGAAUUCAAAAAUUUUUAAUAACUUGCUUUUCAGAUCUUGAUGAAAAGUGUUACAAGAUAAUUACAGUUUAAUAUAUAUAUAUAUAUAUAAUCGGGAUAUCUUGUUUUCCAAAAUUGACGAAAUCACAAAAAUUCGGGAUAUCUUAAAGCAAAAUAUUUCUUUUGAAUUUUAAAUUAUGAAAAAACUGUUGGUACCAGGUCUCUCUUUCUCUCACUAUAACUCACGAAUCAGAAGCUUUUAUUGUAACUGGGAACAAUGUGACUUGUGUAUGUAGAGAUAUACAGAAAGAUGAAAGAGAUAUUUGCAAAGGGAAAAAGCUACAUUUAUUCAAUAAACUAGUUGGCUAUAUAUAGCCUCAAACUCAACAAACUCACCCUAAAACUAGACCCACUAUUUAACCCAUGUGCAGUUCCACAACGUACACAUCCAACAUAUUCGGUCAAAGUGGAUACCAAGUCAUCCUAAUAAAUUCAAAACAAACUAAACUAAUUAUUAAUAAAAACCAACUAACAAAACUAAAUAAUAAUAACCAAAUAAGUCAAGAUUAAAACCCAACAAAAACGUCCCUGUCAUCACAAGUUACUAUUUUGAGUGCAGGUUUCUAUUUUGAGUUGCCAUCAUCAACUUAAUCAAGGUUUCGAGUUGGAGUUCUCGAGUCAGCCAUCUUCACUACGAGUCGCAACCAUUCCAUUCUCUUUACAACUUCACAACGGUCUCGACUCAUCAAUAACUUUCAAGGUCUCGACUCAUCUUCACCCUGGUCUCAACUUCCACGUUUUUGAGUCGCAACCAAAGUCAUCAUCUUCAUUAUGAUCUCGAGUCAACAUCUUCUGCUCUCGAGUCAUCAACAUUCUCCUGGUCUCGAGUCAGUCACAAGGUUUCAAGUUCACAACCGGUUUCGACUCAACUGUUUUGUUCCGAGUCAUCAGCGCAUCUGGUCUUGAGUUAUCAAGGUCUCGACUCCACGGUCUCGACUCAUCCUCUACGGACUCGACUCAUCACGGUUCCGAGUCCGAGUCGCAACCUCCACAGUUCUCGAGUCAGCCAUAUUCUUCUCGAGUCGCAACCACUAUUUCGACUCACAACUUUACGGUUUCGAGUUCAACAUCACAGAGGUCUCGAGGGAUUCAUCAUCCACGGUCUCGACUCCCUUCAAGAGAGGUCUCGAGUCAGCUGUUUCGAGUUCUCGAGUCGCAAACGUUUCGGUUCCGAGUCACCGCAUUCGUUCCGAGACAAAGGUGUCGAGUGGUGAUUUCUCGAGUCCACAACCUCUGUUCAUCUUCUUCGUAUCAGGUUGUCACUCAACAUCGUCCUUCAUCCUUCGACAAUCUCCGAUCACCACUUUCAUCGGUCGUCCUUCUUACACCAACCUCCACCAUCCGCUGAUCACCAUUAACAUCGGACACCACCUGCAACUCCUACAAUCAUCACCAUUAUCACUUCCGGCGAUCACCAUCUUCAGUCGUCGUCACCUCUUCAACCUAUCACCGUCACUGUCAUUCUUCUCCGGCGACAACCACUUCACCGUCGUCAUCGUCAUUCAUCUCCGGUCUAACCAUAAUCACCUACAAAAUCAAGAAAGGUCAUUGGCGGCUGUUAUUUUAAAUUUAGGGUUUCGGUGGUUGUUUUGAUCGAAGAAGACGAAGCAGAAUUGACGUUACAAUUUUUUU
Molecule: long non-coding RNA, 2073 nt
Filed under: Helianthus annuus (common sunflower)
Lineage: Eukaryota; Viridiplantae; Streptophyta; Magnoliopsida; Asterales; Asteraceae
Description: hypothetical non coding rna
Source: RNAcentral